RNAcentral lists this long non-coding RNA (897 nucleotides) under Triticum aestivum (bread wheat). Its description in RNAcentral is "long non-coding RNA (TAES_LNC026507)". Lineage: Eukaryota; Viridiplantae; Streptophyta; Magnoliopsida; Poales; Poaceae. The record is from RNAcentral.
CUGGCGUAAAGAGUCUCCCUGCAUGCCUGCAGCAACGGCUAAGCUGCCUUGUGUCAAAAUUUCUAGAUGCCCGUCAUCAAGGUACGCACGCGCCAGUUUGCUUCUCUAUUGAUUUGUCACAUCUCAGCAACAAAUUCAGACAUCCUUCCACAUAUACUACUACUCGAGCUGGAUCUGUUUGCUCUAGCUAGUUACUACUACAUAAUUAAGUGGGUCCUGAUUCAUGCACACUUACACUAACUACUACGGAGUACACUAGAGCAGAGAGCAUAUUUAAUCAAGUGCUUAGAUAACUGUAAUAGCACACACCAAAGAUAAUGAUAACCGCAUGACUAGUACUACAACCCCAAACUGGAGUAAAUAUCAAUUGUAUGUAAAUUAUUCAUCUCUUCAGUGCACAUUUUUUCAGUGUAAACUUUGAUGCUGCAUUAAUAUACAGUACUUACCAGUUUUCCGUGACAUCAUUUGUGAAACAGAGCCUAGCCUUCUGAAGCCCAAGACAUGGAGAAAUGGCUUCCGCUGAGAGAAGUGUGCUGUUGAUAUGGACAACAUCACCCUGGGAAUCUACCAAGGAGCAGCAGGAGGUUCAAUUCGAUUAUAUGGACGGGUCGUAUUCUGAGAUUUCUUCUGUUGUUGAUUGUGUGUGGCUCCUUUGUAGAGCUGUUUCCGCACAUCCAGGGUACCUGGAGUAGGAACCAUGUUUCUAUGAAGUAUGUAUAUUGCCGCGCUUUCAGUUAGCUACAUUCAUUGACAUGCCAAGAACAGUCUGGUUGUAAGUUGUAGCUCAGAUAUGUAGAUGUCUCAUGUGGACAGACUAGCUGUUUCCUCUUCUGCUGUAAUGAAGCUGGAGUCUUAUAUUGUUCUCUUUAUGCUAUCCCCCCAGGUCUUGAUGUUGAU